Molecule: non-coding RNA, 4428 nt
Organism: Triticum urartu
Lineage: Eukaryota; Viridiplantae; Streptophyta; Magnoliopsida; Poales; Poaceae
Source: RefSeq, a predicted model, not a curated record
UUGCAAUACUACUGAAAACAUGUACUAUGCACUAGAAUUGUUUCAGAUUUUUUUCAAAAUAUAAAAUUUUGAACCGAAAAUUGGUUAUGUUUAGCAAAAUAGCCAAUAUCUCAAAAUCUUGCAACCCAAAUUACCUCAGAAUUUCCCAGAUACUACUGGGCACACAUAGUAUUUACUGUAAUUUUUUGGAAUUAUUUGAAACUUAUCAAAUGUUAGACUUUAGCAAAAUUGCCAUGGUUCGAACUAUAAUAAUAUAGUAACUAGAUCAUCGUAGGCACGCGUUGCCGCGCCCGUCCAUUUUGGCAGUAUAAUAUUAGUGAUGAUGAAUUCAUAUACAACAAUAAUUUUUUGAUCAUGCGAUAUACAUAUCACAUUAAAUUCAAUGGUAGUAUUUCAAUCAUGUGAUAUAAUUAUCAUACCCAUGAAUCAUGUCUUUUGUCCUGUGUUUUAGCACCUCAUAUUCAUCCGAUUGUUUUGUACUUUUGUGUCUAUUUAUUUUUUUCGCGAGCAUGUUUGCUAGUGAUGAAAAAAAAUAUGUUGAUUAAUAUUUUCUGUACAAAUAUGUUAGAUAGUAAGACGGUUGGUAGGUUUUGAUCUUUUUUAUAAGAAGUUUCUAAACCAUGGGAGGGACAGAAAGCGAGAGAUAAGGCAUAAUAUAUGGAAACUAAAAUACUUUAUGGGUAAAUACAACAUCGGUGCAGUAUAUCAUGAUGCCGCAGGUUGCCACACACAUCUAUUUUGACAAUAAAAUAAUGAGUGGAACAUAAGCAGUAUUGUGAAUAAUUCUGAAGCAAUAAUAUUGGAAAAACUUGACACUAAGAUGUUCUCAACUUCACGGAGCACUUCAAAUUACCAAGUGGGCAGAAGUUUCUAAAUAUAUUGAUGUCUCAAUUUUAAGAAAGAAGACAACUACAUCUCUUAGAAGUUUGAUCUAAAAUCUACGUGCUAUAUAAGAGCAACAACCAAUGUACGCCAUGAUUAAAAGAAGUAUAAUCUCUUCAAGGAUGUAGGAUGACUCAUUACUUAAACAUACAUCAGGUGAAACAAUUUUAUCAAAUAGAAUAUACAUACUGGCGAAACCUGUGCCUCAUGAGUGUUCACAGGUGAAUCUGAUAAAUGCAUAAUCAGACAGUUAUUUUGGCGGACAAACGCAUGAAGUAUAUGAACAUAUAGAUCAGCUUGGAUAAGAUGCCUAAAUGGAUGGAUGGUCUUUGAAAGGAACUUGCAUUAUCCAAUAAUAAAUAAUAUUUGACAAGUACGGAGUUUCAUACUUAGAUUUCCCUAAAACUAAUAUACUAUCCAAGAAUGGCACAACUGAAUACAUAACACUUUUGUUUUGAACCGAUAAAUAGAAUCGAUAUUUUUAGCUAUUUUCGAGGAGACAAUAUGCUAAAACUUCUUCAAAAGCCGAACAAAACAGUAAUUUUGAUUGUCCAAUUGAACGAUAAAAAUAUACACAACAAUACUAAGAGGGAGUUCCUAAAGCUGGUAUAUAUGUAUCUUAUAUAGCUGAACGCAACAAUCAGUGUGCUACAACCUGCUGAGACACUGGAGCACUGAAAAUUUCUAUCAUAUAAGGCAAAUUCUAGAAUGUUCACUAAUGGAAGGCUAGAUAGCUUUAACUGGGACAAGUAAAAUUUGUCUCCAAGUGGUAAUGAUGAAACCAACGCAUGUGUUUGAGAAUAUCAGACCAAACAUUCAAAUUUUAUUUGCUUUCAAAACUAAGCAUGUACCUUGUCAAGGCAUAUUUCAUGAAAGUUGAGCCUUUUUCUCAGCAUCUCAUUGGUAUUUCAGCAGCAAAAAAAUGAACAGAUAAAAUUGCAAAGAUGGAACAUGAAAAGAAAAUCUUAUUGGCACACAGAGAAAGUUUUACCACAACAAGAACAAAGUAUAUAUGGAAAUUUACACGAUUACAAUAAAUAAUGAUAUAAGAGGGGUAGCAGAAUUACAAUAAAUAAUGAUAUAAAUUUGCAAAGCAUGCAUUUUAUCUGAUAAAAUUAAGCAUAACCAUCAAGGAGUGUGUUAGGCUAUUAGCAUAACAAUAUGCAGUUCUUGAUCCCUGUUUUUGUUGCAUUGCCUGUAAAUAGGAUCAGAAAAAUACAUCAUUGUAGUGGCCACAAAAAAUUUGCAGUGUCAUCUCAAGGAAAAAGAAUCAACAUUAAGGAUACAUGCAUAUAUGAAGGGGCAUAAGAUAUAACAUCAGUUGGUGCACAUUAAAAAUUAUUGGACCCAAAAAAAAUGUCGUCUAGCAUCAGAUCUCAGAUGUAAAAAAAGAAACACCAUGCUAUUUAGUACUUUACCACCUAUCUCGCAUGAAAGGAUCUUGUCAGAUGUAAAGCAUCCAUUCUUGAACAACAUUGUACAGUAUAUGCAGUUUAGAAUUCAUAUGGAAUUUUAAAUUUGGUAAAUUUGAAUAAGCAGAUGAAAAGCGAGUUAUGCACUUGUAAUACCAAGUCCAAAUUUGAAUGGCCCAUCAAAUAUACAGUUUCAGAUUGAACUAUACUGUUUUGAGACACUUCCCUGAAUAUUACUUGUAUAGUACAUCGAUCAUUCAUUUUCACUUUAUUUCAGUAGAAAUUUGGUGCUGCCAUUCUACUGACUAUAAUUGUUGUGCGUCGUUUCUUUUCAAUUGAUUCUUCCUAGAUGCCCUCUCCCUGCUUACUGUAAUAUCCAUUGGCACAAGUAAAUAAACGAUACGCAAAAAAUCAACAGUAACAUCAGUGAUUGCAAAACAAGUGAGAGAAGAGAGCAUGGGAGAGGGAGGCCAAGAUCGUUGAGAGAAAGUUACCUGAACUUGCGGUUUUUUUAACACACAGGGAUAGGGUACAGUAGCGAAUCGGGCCAAGGUGAAGGUGCAGGCGGCAGAGGUGUUGCACUACGUCGCUGCUUCCUAGGGACCCCCACUCCAUGGUAGCACCAUCACUUACACGUACAACACUAAAGGUGAAUGGGGGAGUGCCGGCCACAAUAGGGAUGGAGGAACUCGGCCACAACGCCCAUCCGCGUCACUGCAAAGGAGGAAUGCCAGUCUGAUAGAUGAGGAGGGCGUGGUGCCAGGUUCCUCCGUCGUUGUCAACGUUCCAAUCGCCUUUGACGUCGUGGCAGAGCCCCAGGUAUGUCGCCGCCAGCAUCGCUAGGUUCUGGAGGCAACAAGGAAGGGAAGGGCAUGAGGCGAAGGACAAUCUCGGGUAGAUAGGGCUUGCCUGGUACAAGGUGCCAGUUGAAGAGAAAGCAGAGGAACGGAGAUGUCGUGACGACUCGGGUACUCAUCGCGGCGGCGACCGGAUCUAGGGUAGACGCCGUCGAGAGGUACUCACGAGUCACGAGAGAAGGAGGAAUCGUGCAGCGUCGCCUGCUUCGCCUUCUCUAAAAGGCCGAGGUUGGCCCACUUAAACAGAGAACGCCAAUUUUGUUAUGGGAGCGGCGGCCCAUUCCCAUUCGCGGAAACUAUUGCGCUCAUAGGUUGAUCCAACAGCCAAAAACUGAUACGACUGUAGAUCCGACGACCAAAAACACUGAUGGUCUUAGAGGGCUGGAAGAGUGCUCGGUUGUAAUGUCUCUAAAUGGUAGCAGCCUCGUGCGUGCUCUCUGGGACGAUGGAAAGCAGCAACGGCCUCGUGCGAGCGAGCCAGCGAACAAGUGGUGUGGGGGCGUUUGGCUGGGCUGGGCCUUAAGUGUAGUAGAAAAAAAAGAAUUGGCAGCGCUGGAGGGCAGGCUCGAGCCUGCUAAAGCCUGCCCUGUAGAUUCGCCACUGUUGGUUCCUUGUUUGGCAGCCUAUGUUGGUAGAUGUGAGAGCUCCAAAUAUGGAAGCAGCCAGCGUGCGGAAGAUUAAAGGAUGCAUUGCUACAGUGAAAGCAUUCAGUGGGCGACCAACGACCAGAAUGUCAUUGCUUUUAUCAUGGCAUCCAACACUUGCAGAUGUGACACAAAAGGGGGUUCUGAAGCUGAUGAACUUGGAUGGCCUGGCAGUCUACCAUACCAACGACCAUCUCCAAGUACACAAACUUGAAAGCUUUCUAAGAUUCGUACACACCUUCAGGUAAAGAUCAGAAAGCCGACAGUGUUUCUAUUAUGUUUCAGGAAAAAUUUGGAUCUUAUUGGCCGGUUAUUGCAACCAUCUGUUUGAAUGAGUAUAAAAACAAUGCUAUGAGGACAAAGAGGAGAUAAAAGGAGUAUUGGAAAGCUUAAAACCAGCCCCCCGAAACCACUCUGCCUGGAGAAAGAAGACAAUAUCUGGCACGAUCUGUUUCAUCUACUACAGCUCAGAGUGGAUAAGAGAUGAUGCAACCAAAGGCACACUUCAAUACUCUUUUACUUUAGUCUUCCCUUUUUCCUGUGUGUCCAAGAGAUUGUUACCAGCAUUUGUUUCCAAACAUGUAUUACCAAGUAAAUACUAAUUUUUAUUUCAGUCCUUCCCUUGCCCCUCCA